This 767-nucleotide ribosomal RNA is filed under the name Lacticaseibacillus casei. Its description in RNAcentral is "bacterial SSU rRNA". It matches the Rfam family "Bacterial small subunit ribosomal RNA", at positions 470 to 1236 of the family's 1533-position model. Lineage: Bacteria; Bacillati; Bacillota; Bacilli; Lactobacillales; Lactobacillaceae. The record is from RNAcentral.
UGACGAGUAUCCAACCAGAAAGCCACGGCUAACUACGUGCCAGCAGCCGCGGUAAUACGUAGGUGGCAAGCGUUAUCCGGAUUUAUUGGGCGUAAAGCGAGCGCAGGCGGUUUUUUAAGUCUGUUGUGAAAGCCCUCGGCUUAACCGAGGGAGCGCAUCGGAAACUGGGAAACUUGAGUGCAGAAGAGGACAGUGGAACUCCAUGUGUAGCGGUGAAUUGCGUAGAUAUAUGGAAGAACACCAGUGGCGAAGGCGGCUGUCUGGUCUGUAACUGACGCUGAGGCUCGAAAGCAUGGGUAGCGAACAGGAUUAGAUACCCUGGUAGUCCAUGCCGUAAACGAUGAAUGCUAGGUGUUGGAGGGUUUCCGCCCUUCAGUGCCGCAGCUAACGCAUUAAGCAUUCCGCCUGGGGAGUACGACCGCAAGGUUGAAACUCAAAGGAAUUGACGGGGGCCCGCACAAGCGGCGGAGCAUGUGGUUUAAUUCGAAGCAACGCGAAGAACCUUACCAGGUCUUGACAUCUUUUGAUCACCUGAGAGAUCAGGUUUCCCCUUCGGGGGCAAAAUGACAGGUGGUGCAUGGUUGUCGUCAGCUCGUGUCGUGAGAUGUUGGGUUAAGUCCCGCAACGAGCGCAACCCUUAUGACUAGUUGCCAGCAUUUAGUUGGGCACUCUAGUAAGACUGCCGGUGACAAACCGGAGGAAGGUGGGGAUGACGUCAAAUCAUCAUGCCCCUUAUGACCUGGGCUACACACGUGCUACAAUGGUUG